This is a long non-coding RNA of Anopheles stephensi (Asian malaria mosquito), 2358 nucleotides long. RefSeq lists it as uncharacterized. NCBI's taxonomy places the organism in Eukaryota, Metazoa, Arthropoda, Insecta, Diptera, Culicidae. The transcript has 2 exons. The record is from RefSeq and is a predicted model, not a curated record.
AAGAUUUAUUUUGACUAUUUUGGUAUAAGAGUUAAUUGUGUUUUCGGUGGAAAUUUUGGUCAUUAUUCUGCAAGCUUUUCCUGCAGUCUGAUAAAAGGUAGGGAGCAAAAAUAUAUGUACUAACCUUGACAACCGUCAAUUAUGAUGUGCAUACCUUGACCUCUGUCAGUUUUACUGUUGUCAAACCGAAUCCAAACAAAAACAGAAACUUUAUUUUAAAUCAACCAAAGGUUUGUUGAGCAACAACGGAACCGUCUUCACCGUUGGUUAUAUUAAUGCUUUCGGUAACCUAUUAAGAGAAUUUAAUCAGUAAAGUUAAGCCCCGUUUUCGGACAACUAUCGAAAGCUGCAGGUGGUUGCAAACCCCACAAUUGAAUGCGGUGCUUAUGCGCGAGCUGAAACGGGUAUGCUCGGGUAAACUGAUGCGUACCUGGAUGUGACACAGCUUUCUGAAGCGAAAUACACCCGGACAUCUUAAUACGAUCAUGCAGCAGCAGUUUCAUUGCAACGAUACACUGGACUUCCUGCCUAUGUGCAAUACCGAAUUCGAUCAUCUUUUACGCCUUAUUAAACCGGCUUUGCUGAAUCCGAUGGUUGAACUAUGGGGUUAGCUAAGCUGCGCGCGAGGGAUCGAGUGUUUUGGCUUCAUUUGCCAUUAAGUUUUUUAGUAGCUUCUUGCGAUUCUUUCGAUGUACCGUCUCCGAUGUGGACGGUGGACGGUGGUCAUUCGGUGUACAGGAUGAUUGCCGUAUUGAAGGGACUUUGGGACACAUAAAGUUACUAUAACGCAAAUCUGUUUUUCAGCUUCCUUCUACGCAAGACGAAUGGCAUGCUGUAUCAAGGGAGUUUGGACAUCGAUACAACUUUCCCCACGCUUCGGUGCACUGAGUGGGAAGCACAUAAAAAUCCAUACGAUUCGAUUCCUCGUGUUGCAUGGUCCGAUUCAACCGGACCUGGACGUUUUAAGAUCGAUAGUUUUGGCCACUGGUCACCUGCAUAAUUUCCUUCGUAAAGCACAUUCGGCCAGCAUUUAUAUCCCGCCGCCGGAGCGUGUAGAUCGAACGGUGGAUGGCAAUGUGGGGUCCGGGGCGUUUGGCGUACUGAUCCAGCAACAUCCGUUGCCAUCGGAAUGACCUUGGCUCACCCUACCUCAACCGCAACUUUUGAAGAGCCGACGAAUCAUAUUCGCACGCAUCUGGCAAAUGUUUUAAAUAAUUUUUAGUCUUAUUAUGCGCACCUAACCCAUUGUUGUUAAUAUUGGUUGUUUUGUUUUAUAAAGCUAUUUACAUAUAGCUGUGUAAACUAAAGCUACUUGCAGUAUUCCGUUUGGCAUACGGUUGUUGCUUGAUCUGACCCAAAAAGCACAUCGCAUCGUAGGCAAAUCAUACGGGUGUGAAUGCUUUAGCUGUUGAAGGCACCAAAGAACGAGCGAAAUUUAAUUUGCUUCUGAGCAAGACAGCGACAUUGUCCGCCACCGUAUGACCACUUACAGGUACCGGCGGUCUGCGACACUCGCGCAUUAUAAAACCGGUACGAUCCGCUGAGUGACUUCCAUUUUUGAAUGAGGCUGGCUGUAGGAAGAUUGACUAUGCUGGCUCUCUCCAUCCAUGCACGCUUCUGCGCUUCCACGUGUCCUUGUAGCUAGGGUUGGAACGAUUCCACAGCACAUCCCGUUCCUCGACCAGCCGGAUAAAGUGCAACGUUUGCUUGUGGCUCAUCUUAACGGUCUUGCAAACAAAUCAGAAGGAGAAAAAAAAACCCGACAACCAUUAAGUGUUUAAAUUUCAAUGUCUUCGAUUGGACCAUUUGAUAAGCUACUUUAGCAGGGCACAGAGCGACAUCGUCUAUGAAGAGGAGGACCCUCUACACCUUACUCGCGAGAACCUGCCUGCUGUUUAAAGAUCAACUAGACAUUCAGGAAUCUACAACCAGAUAUUCUGGAGAAAAAAAACAAUAUUAAUGGCACGUUAGAAAAUUCUAUUGGGCCACAUGACAGGCCUCGAUUUGCUGAUAGAACACAGACAGUUGAACUAAACGUUAUAAGAGAGGCUGGAUUUUUAUUAUUUUGUUAUAAAAAAGUACAUAAACUGCAUGCAAAUGAUUCAGCGCAUCUGAAUGAGACACAGUCAAGGUUUUUCUGAGAACCGCAUCUUUUGUUGCCAUCAUAAGCAAGGUUUUUGUUUCAUUUUUAUUAUGAUCGGACAGUUUCCCCUCCCGUUCGGCAGAACCGGCCGAAAUAACUCCCUCGUGCAGCAGUAUACUGAAACGUGGUAAAAAUGUUGUUUAUUAUUUGCCUCAAUUUCUUAAACAAUUACGAAUAAAACAUAUAUAAACGGAAGCUAUUACACAUUGAUCGCG